UCCGGGGAACCCUGAACGUGAUGAGGUCGUGCGCCAAGGCCGGGACGGUGAAGCGCGUGAUCCUGACCUCGUCGGCGGCCGCGGUCAUCAGGAGGCCGGAGCUGCAAGGCGACGGGCAUGUGCUGGACGAGGAGUCCUGGUCCAACGUCGAGUACCUCACCGCCAACAAGCCUCCUUUCUGGGUACGCGCCGCCGCGCCCUUCCUUCAUCAUGAGCAGUGCUGGGUCCGUUCGGUAAUGGCGUCCGCGUCGUUGGCCUUGGCCAUCGCAGGGAUACCCCGUGUCGAAGGUGCUGCUGGAGAAGGAGGCGAGCAGGUUCGCGGAGGAGCACGGCAUCAGCCUCGUCACCGUCUGCCCCGUGGUCACCGUCGGCGCAGCGCCGGCGCCGAGCGCCCGCACCAGCGUCCCCAACUGCCUCUCCCUUCUAUCCGGUGAGGCCGCGAGCCGAUGAUAAGCAGACCGGCCGGGAGACGAGAAGAAGAACUUGUCGUUUUUCUCUCGUACCUGUUCCUUUUCACGCCACGCGAUCGACCUUCUGAGCUCCGCCUGAUGACCAUCUCAGGCGACGAGGCGGAGUUCGCCGUGCUGAGAGGCAUCGAGAGGGGGUCCGGCACGGUGGCGCUGGUUCACCUCGACGACGUCUGCCGCGCCGAGCUGUUCGUCGCCGAGGAGCCGGCGGCCGCGGGGAGGUACCUCUGCUCCAGCCUCGACACCACCAUCCGCGAGCUCGCACGCUUCCUGGCACACAAGUGCCCGCAGUACCCCGUGAAAACAAACCUGCUGUAAGAAUCAGCUUCUGAACUCUGAGACUUGCGCUGCACUGACGAGUGAGUAGUGAUGUGUGAUCCUGGUCUUCCACUUUAUUUGCAGCUCCGGCGACCUGCUUGAGAAGCCAAGAAUGCGCCUGUCGUCGGCGAAGCUGGUGAGGGAAGGGUUUGAAUACAAGUACAAGACGCUGGAUGGGAUGUACGACGACAUGAUCGAGUACGGCCAAGCUUUGGGAAUUCUCCCCAACUAAGGCUAUCUCCAACCGUCGUUCUCUGUAUCCUUCAUUUACAGAAUUCUCUACAAGAUUCUCUCCUCUAUAUCUCAUUUCUCUCCAACAACGUUCUCUAAAUCUCGUUCUCUGUACAUUAAACUCUAUAUUAGAAACGUAUUUUGUUCCAAAUUUUUGUACGUACAUAUUUAUCAUACCUCAAAUGCUAUGGACAUAUUUUAUUUUUAUUUAAUUCAGUGUUUAAAAUGUAAAGAAAAAAUAGAGAAGAGGAGAGAAAAUCUCUAUAUAUAGAGGAAACCUGUAGCGUUGUCUAUUUGAGAGGACCAUUUAAAGAACGCUGCUGGAGCAAUAGAGAACGGAAUCUUCUCUAUACAUAGGGUAGAGAACGGUUUAGAGGGUACUGUUGGAGACAGCCUAAUGACGAUGCUCCUCUGCCCUGGGUGAGCACAGUUCCAAAACCAGGUGCUUGCAGAAGAAGUCUAUGGUUCCCGGCAAAAAAAGGAAGCUCUAUGUUAUAUUUUUAGAGAGGAAGCAACAAACUUAUUUAUUGAUUAACAAUAAUAUAAUCUUUAUAACCAACAGGCACAGUGCAAAUAUCCGAAGAAUGAUGGGAUAACAAGUGUGUGCUUUUUUGCUGGGCUUUGUGGUAUGUCUUUUACUCAUCGCAAGUUACCGCUCCUUCUAUUCCAAAUUAUAUACCAUUUUACCUUUUUAGAUACACAGAUUUUAUUAUACAGCUAGAGAUACGACAUAUUUAAAUAGAAAUUUUAAAAAUAUGUAGCUAGAAAAGUCAAAUCCAUCUUUUUUUAACAAUUUGCGGGAGCUCCGUUUUGCCAUUUAAGCAGGGAGAAAAGAGCAAGGUUCAAAGUGCUUACAAUGGCGAUAUUAUAUAAAUAAAAGAGUUCUUAAUCUCUAGAAAAACGAAACUAAUCAUUAAAAGAAGAUAACUCCGGUCUUCCGCAGGCCAUAUUCCUGCAUUGCAUCUCGGCUUUGAUCUCCUGCAUCACCUCCAAUGAUGUCAUUGUUUUUUUCUCAAAAACCCGCUUGUUUCUUGCCUUCCAGAUAUUCCAUGCGCCAUGGAUCAUCAAAGCCGCCUUGAGUCGCCGAGCCUUCUUUGACAGAUGCGCUAAUUUCUUCUCCCACCAAUCCAUCACUUCCAUUCCCUGAGCCGGCUUCUUGAUGAUAGACUGUGUCCAAUUUUCCAUUCUGUCCCAGACUUUCUGAAAACCGAAUCUUGAACAGAGUGGGUAGUAUACAUGUGUAUAACAAACAAAUCAAUGUGGUAAAAUAAAUUAUGCAUAUGAUUAAUUGCAGCCACUAUUAAAAGGUUGAAAUUCCUGAUGUAAACCCCUCGGUGAGAUCGCACCGAGCAGCGGAGGGGGCACGACAGUGGAUCAUGGUCGGAAAUAGGAGCCUGCCGUCGCCAGCCACGCUGUGCUAGCGGGUGUUAGCUGCUUUGCCCGUCGCGUUUUAGUGUCUUUUCUCUUUUGUAAUUCACAAUUAUGAAAUGCUGGCCCAAGCCCUAAAGCACAGAUGAAGCUGAAGGCAGAGUCGCUUUGCCACUUCCAUGGUGCCUACAAAGGACAGAGCAUUGGAGUAUGGAGGACUGGGUAUUCCUAACACGUGUACAUACUCGUACAUCCCCGGUUACACUCACGCAGGAAAGGGAACACACGCGUAGAGACACCUGUAGAUCACAGGCAAGCAGGGCAACGACGCGUGGAGGCAGAUCACACCUCCGAAAGAAGCUUCAUCAUCAUUGUUCAACCACAUUAAUGUGUGCUUCUUCCUUUCUUUCCUUUUUCUUUGAGAGAAUUCCUUUCUUUUUUUUUUAGAUCGCACGGUGACAAGAGUGGUAUGAUCUUUGAUCCAUGGCGAUGUGUGCAAAGUUUUCUGUUCAUGAUGUAGAGGUGAUUGAUAGGGAGAUCAACCUAACCGUGGACGCAAGGCCCCAACGAUCGGUGUCCGCGUGGACGGCUGCCCUGACAGCAACUGAUAAAGCAUGCCGCAUCUGAACUAUGCCAUCUCUUCCUACAGAAGAGUAGCAGACUGGCGAGCGAACCCUCAGCGGCUGCCUCUGCCUCAGCCCCCCCCCCCCCCCCCCCCCCCCCCCCCCCCCCGUGCUAGUGGGGAGUGAGGAGACAGGCUAGGGGAGGAAGUGGCCGGCGAUGUCGACGGUCAACAAGAAGAAGGUGGCGUGCGUCACCGGAGGCAGCGGGUACAUCGCCUCCGCGCUCAUCAAGAUGCUGUUGGAGAAAGGGUAUGCCGUGAAGACGACGGUCAGGAACCCCGGUUCGACCCACUGAUCCUUCUUUUUCAUCUCAGAUUUUUGCAAAAAUAGGCAGUAUGUGUUCUCGUUAGAGCUUUAUUUCCAUCAUCCUUGGAGUAAAAAGAAAAUUCUAGUUACAAGUUUGGUAGCGCGGAUCAUAAAAAAAAAUGUUAGCAUCGCUGAUGCUCUGCGUUUACUCUCAGUCAGUUCAGAGAGAGUAACUUAGGGGAAAAGGUUCACGAUUCUGAAUGCUGAGCUUACCAAAAAUCGAUUCUGAAUGGUCGCGUGCAUAUUUCUACUCUUGCAAGUUGUUAUGAAUUUAUGACCCCGAAUCACCAAUCUCGCUUGGCCGUUCUGAUCCUGAAACCCCAGAUGACACGGCGAAGAACUCCCACCUCAGGGAGUUGCAGGCGCUCGGCCCCCUGACGGUCCUCCGCGCCGACUUGGACGAAGAAGGCAGCUUCGACGAUGCCGUCGCCGGCUGCGACUACGCCUUCCUCGUCGCCGCCCCGGUGAACCUCGAGACGGAGAAUGCUGAGGUGCGCGGACAUCACCGGACAGUUACCCUUUCUGCUCUAGAUUUCUUUUCUUCUUGUUGUUGCUUCACCAGUUGCUGGCUUAUCCACUGCCGAGCAACGCCUUGACAUUGGCCAGCCAGAUGAACUCGGUGAGUCAUGAGUGGCAUGGCAGGAAGAACUGAUCGAGCCAGCAGUCCGGGGAACCCUGAACGUGAUGCGGUCGUGCGCCAAGGCGGGCACCGUGAAGCGCGUGGUCCUGACCUCGUCGGCGUCCUCGGUCACCAGGCGGCCGGAUCUGCAAGGCGACGGGCAUGUCCUGGACGAGGAGUCCUGGUCCGACGUCGAGCACCUCAGAGCCGAGAAGCCGCCGACCUGGGGGUACUGCGUGUCCAAGGUGCUCGUGGAGAAGGCGGCGAGUAGGUUCGCGCAGGAGCACAGCAUCAGCCUCGUCACCCUCUGCCCCGUCGUCACCGUCGGCGCCGCGCCGGCGCGGAGAACCCGCACCAGCGUCCCCAACUGCCUCUCCCUUCUGUCCGGUGUGGCCGCGAGCGCGAGCUGAGCGCGCUGACCGGAACACGAGAAGAACUUGUCAGAGUUCUUCAAUCUCAUGUCACACGAUCGACGGCUUACUUUCGCGUGAUCGUUUCAGGCGACGAGGCAGAGUUCGCCGUGCUGGCAGCCAUCGAGAAGUCUUGCAGCACGAUGCCGCUGGUUCACCUCGACGACGUCUGCCGCGCCGAGCUGUUCGUCGCCGAGGAGCCGGCGGCCGCGGGGAGGUACCUCUGCUCCAGCCUCGACACCACCAUCCGCGAGCUCGCACGCUUCCUGGCACACAAGUACCCGCAGUACCCCGUGAAAACAAACCUGCUGUAAGAAUCAGCUUCUGAACUCUGAGACUUGCGCUGCACUGACGAGUGAGUAGUGAUGUGUGAUCCUGGUCUUCCACUUUAUUUGCAGCUCCGGCGACCUGCUUGAGAAGCCAAGAAUGCGCCUGUCGUCGGCGAAGCUGAUGAGGGAAGGGUUCGAGUACAAGUACGAGACGCUGGAUGGGAUGUACGACGACAUGAUCGAAUACGGCAAGGCUUUGGGAAUUCUCCCCAACUAAUGACGGCGCUCCUCUGCUUUGGGGUGAUCAGAGCUCCAAACCAUUUGCUACAUUUUUUUUCAUCAUCGCUUCCUUCUGUGUUUGACAAAUAAAAAAAAUGCUUGAGCUGUGUGUUUUUGCAUGGAAACAGAUAUGACAAUUGCUUCUUCUUUUAUGGAUAAGGAUAAACCGGCCUCUAUAUCCAUCUGGUGGAUAUAUGCAGCCAAUGACGAUUGCUUCUACGUACAUGUAUACGUGGUGUGAACAGUGAGUGACACACAUCAUGCAUAAAUACCUUGAGUUUGUUUUCUUCUAUAUUUGUUAACGGUUGCAUAAGUGGGUAAUUUAUAAGCUUACAAUAUCAAGUACUUGGGAUAUUUUUUAUAAUGACAAUGGUAGGUAAUUUAGAUAUAGAUUUAUGAGUCACCUUAGAUUUUUUUUAUAAAAGAUGGGAUAGGUUAUUUAGAUGUGAAACUAGAUUAUUUUUGGUAGUGUUGUAGAUAGAUAAUUUAGAUAACGAUUAGGGGUUACUUUAGAUAACUUUUAUAGGUGAAUUAUUCAGAUAUAGAUUAGAAAUGCAAAAUUAAAGCGAAUUACACUAUUGGUAAUGGAGAGAGAGUUGGCAGGAGGCGCGAGUAAUCUGUUAGAGAUGCUCUAAAUGCUGGAGAGAACAUCCACCACAACACAAUACACCGGCACCAAACUAAAGCAAAUUGCAACUUGCGGGUGUUAAUAAAAAAUAUACAUUGUGUUACUUAUGAGCUACGAUUACUGUAUGACAACUAGCAUUUAAAUGGAUCCUUGUCGCAGGAGUGGUCCAUGACAAAAAUGUUACUUUUAGGUGACGACCAAUUCUUGUCUCGCCAUUCUUGUUGACUUGUCUCUUUUUUUUCCCGACAAAUCAAAGACGUUGCCCUCUUUGUCUUGAGGGAAAUUCAAUCGUAUCCACUCAACACAUCAGAUAUUAGUUGCAGCAAAAUCAUUCCAUUGAAUCACAAACUCGUCUUGAGUCCUGAUCGACCACACGUUGCCAGUUCGUGCGAACAAAAAUCUCUGGCUUGCAUGCGACUUUUUCUCUGGAGUUCUCAAACCGUACGAUGAGGUCGCCUACCUGCUUGCUCUGCGUGCGCGUAUAACAAUGCUGGAGUAGUGGAGAAUUCCUCUUGUGGCAACCAACACAGGAACCACCUGACCACAGUGUAAGUGUAACUGUGCUCGUUCUCUCUACCAGACAGCCAUGGCGGUUCCAGGUGCCGUGAAGACGGCGUGCGUCACGGGAGGCAACGGGUACAUCGCCUCAGCGCUCGUGAAGAUGCUGCUGGAGAAGGGCUACGCUGUCAAGACGACCGUCAGGGACCCUGGUUCGAUCGGUUUCUUCUUUUGAUUUUCAAUGAUCGAGUGGCUGCAUGAGCUCGCUCGUCCCUGCUGGAGAUCGAUGCCUUUGGAUUGUUCUUUGGUUAAUUCGUUUAUGAACUCUGUGUGAACGAUCGAUUUGUUUGUAGGUGACAUGGAGAAGAACUCCCACUUGAAGCGCUUGCAGGCGCUCGGGCACUUGGAGGUCCUCCGCGCCGACUUGGACGAGGAGGGCAGCUUCGACGAGGCGGUCGCCGGCUGCCACUACGCCUUCCUCGUCGCCGCUCCGGUGAACCUCGCGUCGGAGAAUCCCGAGGUACGUACUAUGUAUAGUGUGCGAGCGCCACCUAGGAUCUUCCGCAAGCGUUUUUGGUGACGCUCGGCAUGCAGGAAGAACAGAUCGGGCCUGCCGUCCGAGGGACCCUGAACGUGCUGAGGUCGUGCGCGAAGGCGGGGACGGUGAAGCGCGUGAUCCUGACCUCGUCGGCGGCCGCCGUGGUGCCCAGCGGCAGAGGGUCGCCGCGAGGAGACGGCGGCGGACGUGUGAUGGACGAGGAGACCUGGCCCGACGUCAACUACCUCGUAGCCAACAAGCCAGUAACAUGGGUACAAUCCCUGCACACACCUAGGGUACGGUGCGCGGACACAUACUGCAGGGUGCAUGACCGGCCGUGUAUUUGCC
Molecule: long non-coding RNA, 6902 nt
Filed under: Panicum hallii
Lineage: Eukaryota; Viridiplantae; Streptophyta; Magnoliopsida; Poales; Poaceae
Description: long non-coding RNA (PHAL_LNC000742)
Source: RNAcentral